AGACUGCCUGCGCAAGCAGAGAGGAAGGAGGGGACGACGUCAAGUCAUCAUGGCCCUUACGCCCAGGGCGACACACGUGCUACAAUGGCGCAUACAGCGGGUCGCGAGCCGGUAACGGUAAGCCAACCUCUAGAAGUGCGUCUCAGUUCGGAUUGAGGUCUGCAACUCGACCUCAUGAAGCUGGAAUCGCUAGUAAUCGCGCAUCAGCCAUGGCGCGGUGAAUACGUUCCCGGACCUU
Molecule: ribosomal RNA, 238 nt
Filed under: uncultured Cyclobacteriaceae bacterium
Lineage: Bacteria; Pseudomonadati; Bacteroidota; Cytophagia; Cytophagales; Cyclobacteriaceae
Description: partial 16S ribosomal RNA
Rfam family: Bacterial small subunit ribosomal RNA
Source: RNAcentral